UCACGAAGUGGUGAUGACGCAGCAGAAAAACCCACUUCAACAUGGUAUGUGACGUCACAGAGGAUCAAGCGGACUAUAGCGUAAAGCAAGAAUGAAGAAAAGUCAGCAAAAAAGCUGCCGAAGAAAAGCGCAAGUCGAAGAACAGAGACGAAGACGCCGAUUAAGGAUACAUGGUUUGAGGCUUGAGUAUUAUAUAAGUAUAGGAGUUGUGUGUUGUAUAUGUAUGUAUGUGUUUGUCUGUCUGUGCUACCGUCCUUUAUUCUGCUGGGUCUACUAUGGCCAGCUGUUUUUAGUCAGUCACUACUAUAGUGCAUUUUGCAUGUCUAUGA
This is a non-coding RNA of Ciona intestinalis (vase tunicate), 329 nucleotides long. NCBI's taxonomy places the organism in Eukaryota, Metazoa, Chordata, Ascidiacea, Phlebobranchia, Cionidae. The record is from RefSeq and is a predicted model, not a curated record.